Molecule: ribosomal RNA, 775 nt
Filed under: uncultured eukaryote
Lineage: Eukaryota
Description: SSU rRNA
Rfam family: Eukaryotic small subunit ribosomal RNA
Source: RNAcentral
GGGGCUUCUUGGUGAUUCAUGAUAACUUUACGGAUCGCAUGGCCUUGCGCCGGCGACGGUUCAUUCAAAUUUCUGCCCUAUCAACUUUCGAUGGUAAGGUAUUGGCUUACCAUGGUUUCAACGGGUAACGGGGAAUUAGGGUUCGAUUCCGGAGAGGGAGCCCGAGAAACGGCUACCACAUCCAAGGAAGGCAGCAGGCGCGCAAAUUACCCAAUCCCGAUACGGGGAGGUAGUGACAAUAAAUACUGAUACAGGGCUCUUUUGGGUCUUGUAAUUGGAAUGAGUACAAUUUAAACCUCUUAACGAGGAACAAUUGGAGGGCAAGUCUGGUGCCAGCAGCCGCGGUAAUUCCAGCUCCAAUAGCGUAUAUUAAAGUUGUUGCAGUUAAAAAGCUCGUAGUUGAACCUUGGGUCUGGCUGGCAGGUCCGCCUCACCGCGUGUACUUGUCCGGCCGGGCCUUCCUUCUGGAGAACCUCAUGCCCUUCACUGGGCGUGUUGGGGACCAGGACUUUUACUUUGAAAAAAUUAGAGUGUUCAAAGCAGGCCUUUGCUCGAAUACGUUAGCAUGGAAUAAUAGAAUAGGACGUGCGGUCCUAUUUUGUUGGUUUCUAGGACCGCCGUAAUGAUUAAUAGGGACAGUCGGGGGCAUCAGUAUUCAAUUGUCAGAGGUGAAAUUCUUGGAUUUAUUGAAGACUAACUACUGCGAAAGCAUUUGCCAAGGAUGUUUUCAUUAAUCAGUGAACGAAAGUUAGGGGAUCGAAGACGAUCAGAUACC